Non-coding RNA from Salvia hispanica, 479 nucleotides. The record is from RefSeq and is a predicted model, not a curated record. NCBI's taxonomy places the organism in Eukaryota, Viridiplantae, Streptophyta, Magnoliopsida, Lamiales, Lamiaceae.
GAAGAAUCCUAUUCCUAAUUCCUAUACAAUAAUUAUUGGCAGUUGUGCCAAACAAAUAGUAAAAUAUUUAUCAGUUUCGACGUUAUAUUAUAAUUACCAUAAACCACUUUUUUUUUUAGGGAAUUAUAUUUAAACCACUAAAACCCUAAAUAAAAAUCUCGCCGCCGCGCUCACGCAAGGUAAAUUGUCUUUUUAGUUGUUUUCAAAUAAAGUGCUACUCUCAAAGUACCAAUCAUUCCGGCGGAUGCGGAGCUACAGCCACCGCCGAAUUAAGUGAAAUUGCGUCACGUUAUUUCUCAAUUUGUACCAUUCAGUUCUCUCAAAUUUUCUGCAAUAGCUUCGGCUGCCGGCUGUUAUUUCCUCAAUGCUAGCUAUCGAGUCUUAACAACGCAUGAAGGAUCCCCAAAAUGGGGGGUAAUCAAAGGCAGCUGUAAUCCCCAAUUUUCAUCUUCCAAUGCUUAGCUAUGAAGCUUAAAACA